UACGGGGGGGGCAAGCGUUGUUCGGAAUUAUUGGGCGUAAAGAGCUCGUAGGCGGUCUGUCGCGUCGGCUGUGAAAUCCCGAGGCUCAACCUCGGGUCUGCAGUCGAUACGGGCAAACUAGAGUAUUGCAGGGGAGACUGGAAUUCCUGGUGUAGCGGUGGAAUGCGCAGAUAUCAGGAGGAACACCGGUGGCGAAGGCGGGUCUCUGGGCAGUAACUGACGCUGAGGGGCGAAAGCGUGGGGAGCGAACGGG
RNAcentral lists this ribosomal RNA (253 nucleotides) under uncultured bacterium. RNAcentral's name for it is "partial 16S ribosomal RNA". It matches the Rfam family "Bacterial small subunit ribosomal RNA", at positions 524 to 776 of the family's 1533-position model. The record is from RNAcentral.